ACUGACUCACUGUUAAUGGAAAAUAUUCACACUGCAUCUAGUUACUAUAGUAUUUCUAAGCAUAAUCACAGCUGAUUGAAUGCAAUGUGAUAUACACCAAAAUUCAUAUGAAUGUCACACAGUGACAGCAUUGUACAAGUAACAUUAAUGACCUCCAACAAACACAUGUUAAAUUAGACU
RNAcentral lists this microRNA precursor (180 nucleotides) under Ovis aries (sheep). RNAcentral describes it as "miRNA (ENSOARG00000021920.1)". The record is from RNAcentral. Lineage: Eukaryota; Metazoa; Chordata; Mammalia; Artiodactyla; Bovidae.